RNAcentral lists this ribosomal RNA (254 nucleotides) under uncultured bacterium. RNAcentral's name for it is "partial 16S ribosomal RNA". It matches the Rfam family "Bacterial small subunit ribosomal RNA", at positions 524 to 776 of the family's 1533-position model. The record is from RNAcentral.
UACGUAGGGGGCUAGCGUUGUCCGGAUUUAUUGGGCGUAAAGAGCUCGUAGGCGGUUCGGUAAGUCGGAUGUGAAAUCUCCAGGCUCAACUUGGAGGGGUCAUCCGAUACUGCCGUGACUGGAGUUCGGUAGAGGAGUGUGGAAUUCCUGGUGGAGCGGUGAAAUGCGCAGAGAUCAGGAGGAACACCCGUAGCGAAGGCGGCACUCUGGGCCGAUACUGACGCUGAGGAGCGAAAGCGUGGGGAGCGAACAGG